GUCUAUUAUUUGUAUGUCUUUCCAUAUCUCGGGACCAUGGGGUCCCGGACCUUUGGGAGGCAUGCGUGGGGCCGAAGCCAACAGCACAGAGGCCCUUUAAGACAAGUUUGAUGUUAUGUAAUACACCAGCUAGAACCCAUUCACGGGUACAAAUAGAUACCCGUAAAUCGGUCCCAGCUGGCAUAGGAGCUAUUGUAAAUGCAGUGGAGAAGAGUGCCGGUUAUGGUGUUGAAAUUUGGCUGGUCAAAAGAUUGGGCUAUUGCCGAGAGGUCCGGACACCUGCCAUAACAAAGCUUCUACACGUUAUCGAGGCAGGCGGUGACUUGCCACUAACUAGAUGGGCCCCUGAAACUGUCGACGUAAAGACGACCAGGAGCAACACUGGUGUAAGCGGCUCAGGGGUGUCGAGAGGUGUGCGCCGCUUUCUACCCAGUGGCUGUUAUAACAGCCACUGUGCCAACUCGCGUCUUAUGCAUGUUUCACUUCCACCCCUGGAGCAUAUAGCUCUAACGACUCCUCUCUGGACGGCCAAUGAAGGCAAGCCAGAGCUGAGAGUCCUGCGGGUCCCCUUGGGGUCCACUCUGACCGACAAAGACACGCCGGAGACGGAGACCCUGACCGACUCUCGGGAGCACUCGGGUCCGUGGGGUCGUUACUCCCCAACAGCUCGCCACAAGCUGCCCUGCGGGCUUAUUAUUAUUAUUAUUUUGUGUCUCCUUUUGGAUUUCACGGGCCUAUAAAUCCCGGUCUUUUGAUAGGCUUGCGUGGGGAUAUAGAUCCAACACGUAGAGGCCCCUUGGAGAGCUUUAAUGUCAUGUAGAACGCCUGCUGGAACCCGUUCACAGGCGCAACAAUAGACACCCAUGAACCGGUCGCAGCAGGCAUUGGGACUAUUGUAGAAAAAAGAACAGUAUACCGGUCUAUGGAUUGAAGUUUGGG
Molecule: long non-coding RNA, 939 nt
Organism: Cydia fagiglandana
Lineage: Eukaryota; Metazoa; Arthropoda; Insecta; Lepidoptera; Tortricidae
Exons: 2
Source: RefSeq, a predicted model, not a curated record